CACGUAGGGGGCAAGCGUUGUUCGGAAUUACUGGGCGUAAAGGGCAUGUAGGCGGCUUUGUAAGCCUGGCGUGAAAGUCCACAGCUUAACUGUGGGACUGCGUUGGGAACUGUGAGGCUUGAGUCACGGAGAGGGAGCUAGAAUUCCUGGUGUAGGGGUGAAAUCUGUAGAGAUCAGGAAGAAUACCAAUGGCGAAGGCAAGCUCCUGGCCGAUGACUGACGCUGAGGUGCGAAAGUGUGGGGAUCAAACAGG
RNAcentral lists this ribosomal RNA (253 nucleotides) under uncultured bacterium. Its description in RNAcentral is "partial 16S ribosomal RNA". It matches the Rfam family "Bacterial small subunit ribosomal RNA", at positions 524 to 776 of the family's 1533-position model. The record is from RNAcentral.